CCGAAGGAGGCGAGCAUCACUCCUUCCCCAUCCCCAGGCCCGCCAGACAUCCCACCUCCACCGCGGCCUCCAACUCGCACCGCGGCAAAGAACUUCGGAAGGGCACAUGCCUUUUGUGUUAACCGAAGGAGCAUCUGGAUUCGGAGCCGUGUACACAGCACGCCGGCAGUGAGGACGGUGUCCAGGAGCCACGGCUGGGCCACUUGGCCAAACCUGCAUCAUGUGGUCUUGCUCCGGGGCUGGCCGGGGGGAGCCCGCGCCUUGGCGAUCAUGAAAUGCGGCUCUGUCCUGCACUGGCCUUGGAAGCCUGGUCAGCAGAUGGCCUUUGCCACGGGGAUGGUGAUGUCACUGUGACCACCAGCGGAUCCCAGCUCAGGCGCCCUGGGUGCUCUCCAACACAGACCCUUUGCUUCAUCUGGGCGCACCAUUCUUCUCCAUUGGCACAUUCUUCACUGGCUACCGUUUUGUUACCUGGGUUGGGAGAAACUUGGAGCAUCCACAGUCCCUCUUGGAAUGCUUCAUGUCGAGACUGGGUUUGCAGUCAUGCUCACAGCGGGUGGAUUUUCGAUGAACAUUUGCUGGAGCCAAAGCUCUAACGGCCUAAGGUACUAUGAUAAGAACACUCCACUGUCACAGAACUGUUGUUGGUUAGCCCAGAAGCACAUGGCGAUGGCAGGCGACGUGGUCAGCCCAGGUGGCCUCCCUGCCCCACUGCUCCCUGUGGAACCCAAGUCCCUAUUGUGGAAUGAGCAACCCACACUCUGUGCUUUCCGCCCAGUUUCACCAUCGCCCAUUUGCACGCCCGCCGGGAUUCCUUAAGAGGCUCGUGCUGUGCUCACAGGCCAGUCUCCAGCACACGCUGCGGGGAUGCGGUGAGCUCCCCACACACCCACCUGGUGAGCGAACAAACGGGUCUCCUUCCAGAGUGUGGCCCGGAUGCUUGGGGUUCCUACUAGGCAGAAGCGGGACACGGAGUGUGCAUUUUGGUGCACGAAUCAUAGGGAGGUGUAAUUCCAGCACAGGAGAGGCAGAAGGAAACCAUGACUUACUUUUUGAUUUGGGGAAUGGGGAGGUGGGUUGGAAGGGAAGAAUGGAUGUAGGAAAGGCACAGCCCUCCACUGGAGCUUAACAAGCAGAAUCCUGCCCCUAGGGCUGGCAUGUGAGCGUGUGGGCUGAGAGUCUUCCCAGUGAAAAGGCUGGGUCCUUGCACUUCACAGAAAAGGUCACCAGCAUCACCAAGUAAGAGCCCCAUUUGGACAGCAGCCAGGAGCAAGACUGGAGGGUUCUGUGGGAGCCACAUCCGGACCUUAAAUCUUCCACUUUUACCUCCUCCUGGUGUCACCUGGUUGGCUCUGCAAGCCCGGGGAGCACGAGCCCAGGUAAGAAUGGCCGAGCGGGCCUGAGGGGACAGUAAGGAAGCCUCACAGGUUCAUGGGAAGAAGAGGAGGGAAGGGAGCGGGGCUGGGGAGAAUGUGGAAAGAGGAAGCCUGGGGUGGCAGUGGCCACACUGGCAGCUGAGCCUCUGCUCCGACAACGCAGACCAGGGGUGUGGUGUGGGGAGCUGCCAGGGUAACGCGGAGUGGGCCAUGCGGGCCUCACUGCAGCUCAGACGGACUUAUCUCCAGGGCCCAGGGCUGGUCUGCAGCCUUACGAGCAUGCUUUGAGCCCCAGCAGCAGGUGCCCUGGUCUCUUUCUAAUGCAUUUAGAAGGCGCCCCGAACACAGACUCCGAGGCCAUGUGGUAAAUAACUCGGCUGUGGGAGGGUGGCCCCUCGAGGCCUGAGGCUCCUGCUUGCCAGCGGCUGCAGGGGAUCCCAGAGACAUCUUCUCAAAAGGCCUCCAAGGCUGGUGGAAACACUGAGGCAGGAAGCAGCCUGGUGUGUGGACCUCAGACUUUCUUAUUUUACCCCGGGGUGUUCGAGGCUUGAGGUCAGAGCCUCACUUUCUCCACCACCAGUCCCCUGGGCAGUCCUGCAGGUAACAGCAGCAGAAAGGAUGGAGGGAGGGGCUUUGAGGGCAGAGAGUGGCUUUGUUAGAGGCGCGGUCUCUGCAGACCCACAGAGCUGGGGACCUGGGGUUACAUUUGCAGGGAACCCACAUGCAAGGAGGGUGUAGAGCCUGUCCUUGAGAGGUCAAAGUACAUGGGGCUUGUUGGUGUGAAGUGACAUUGCCCCCCCGGAAGAUGGGGGCCAUGCACAAAGGAUCACAGUAAUUCUACUCCAAUUAAAGAGAAAGUCCAGCCAAAGAAAUCUUUGCACAAGGAGAUAACACUGCGUGUCCUAGCAGAAGGCAUCCAGUCCUGACGUGAGGAUCCUGGGUUUGAACUCCAGCUCUGUCGUGUGCUGCUGUGUGGCUUUAGGUGCGUUGCUUAACCUCUCUGACCCCCCCCUUGGUCUGUAGAACUGGACAAGCAGCGCUGUGCACAUGGUAGACACUUAGUUAAUAUCACUUAAUCCAGCCCUUCAGAUGACAACACAAACUCCGGUUGGAAAGAAGGUCUCGGCCGGAUGUCCUGUAUAAUCACCUCCAUGCCAAACAGAACUUAGACAAAAACAUCAAAGAUUUGUCUUCAAUGCUUCCAUCCGGACCUUGGGUUUGCCUCUCCCCCACCCCGUGUUUUCAGCAUCUCUUUACACCCAUCGUGCUCCUUACGGCCUCUGGAAAUGGACCCCUCUCUUAUUUCCCUGGUACACCCCACGGUGCAGACAGUAUCUUGCACAGAUGGGCGUUUAAUAUUUAUAAAGCGAUUGAUUUCCAAUGCAAAAGCGCUGGCACUCUUUUCCUCAUUUUAGCUUCCUCCCUUCGGCGGGAAGACCUUUGUGUCUGCAGGCGUGGUGAGGGUUUUCACCAUGACAGCCUGCUGAUGGGAUCAUACACCCUUCAUUUGCACCCACUGUUUUGCUGUGUCUGCAAUUCGGAUCCAAGCACCGAUCUAUCUUGGCCUCUCAAUCGGUCAUGGAUUAGAAGUCCAGAAUCCACAGUCUCUCCAAUUUCUGACCUGCAGGGACAGAGUGAUCUUGUCACAAACCACCCUAAUCCGGUGAGCUGCGGAAAAGCCAGGUGGCCCCACAUUCCAUCGGAAAGAACUCUUCAUUGCUGGCGUUCCCAAACACGGCCUCAGUCUCUUUUUGUGGGGUCCUCCUUUCCCAGGGCAGCCCCCGAGUCUGCAGGGCCUUCUGUAACAUCAAGGACAGUGUGGGCUAGCCACCGGCAUGCUGGAAAUCGGUUCAGUUUGGAAUCCUCAUUCUUUGAAAAUUGAUAGCCUCAUACCAGUCAGCCUUUCUGGAGGACGCUGAGGGCUUCACUCCCUCAUCGUGGAAGGUCACCAGCUGACCUUCGGGGGACACGUUCCUGGACGGAACUGUGGGUGUCUGACACACAGUGGGCACUCAUGCACUAUCAGAGGAGGGGACAGAACGAUGCAGUGACAAAACCCACAACAGAUGGCAUGGGUGGAGGUGGGCAGAGUCUAAGAAAAGAUGGCUAUUGCUCAGAAGGGCUGGAAAAACUACGCUCUGUAAACUCAGCGUGUCACGCGGGGGGUGUCAGCCACCUAAUCUGGGAUUACGCUAGACCGGGCUCGUGCUUCCCAGGAGGAAUGGGACAAUCAAGACUCCGGUGAUGUAAAGCUGCAGGAUGCGUCCGCGGUUGUUGGUUUCAACCGGGCGGCAAAAUGAGAGCGUCGGACUGCUCAGCACCAUUGCUCGCUCAGAAAGGACCCCGGGGCCAACCGCGGCCUCCCGAGCCUUCGGGGACCAAUGACCCAGUUUGUGGGGGUUCCAGAUGCCUGGUUUGUUCCAUUCCCCUCUGUGUCUCAUGAUGUCACCAUUUAUCACAGACAUUUUGGGAAGAAUAAAGCACAGCGCCUACAUCUGGCACUCGUGUUCCCACGAUUAUUGUAACGAUGUUUCCAUGCGGGAUUGGGCAGGAACAGAAGUGAAAUUCAAACCGGUCUGACUUUCUGUCCUGGGGUGUUA
Ailuropoda melanoleuca (giant panda) is the source of this 3976-nucleotide long non-coding RNA. RefSeq lists it as uncharacterized. Lineage: Eukaryota; Metazoa; Chordata; Mammalia; Carnivora; Ursidae. The transcript is spliced from 2 exons. The record is from RefSeq and is a predicted model, not a curated record.